RNAcentral lists this long non-coding RNA (1051 nucleotides) under Salmo salar (Atlantic salmon). RNAcentral's name for it is "lncRNA (ENSSSAG00000087731.1)". The record is from RNAcentral. Lineage: Eukaryota; Metazoa; Chordata; Actinopteri; Salmoniformes; Salmonidae.
GUCUGUAGUAGUCCUGCGCUGGUCUGUAGUAGUCCUGUACUGGUCUGUAGUAGUCCUGUGCUGGUCUGUAGUAGUCCUGUGCUGGUCUGUAGUAGUCCUGUGCUGGUCUGUAGUAGUCCUGUACUGGUCUGUAGUAGUCCUGUACUGGUCUGUAGUAGUCCUGUGCUGGUCUGUAUAACUGCUGUGCUGGUCUGUAGUAGUCCUGUGCUGGUCUGUAGUAGUCCUGUGCUGGUCUGUACUGCUCUGUGUCCAGGGCUCUACAGUGUCUGCGGUAGGUAGUCCUGUGCUGGUCUGUAGUAGUCCUGUACUGGUCUGUAGUACUAUUGUGCUGGUCUGUAGUAGUCCUGUACUGGUCUGUAGUACUGCUGUGCUGGUCUGUAGUAGUCCUGUGCUGGUCUGUAGUAGUCCUGUACUGGUCUGUAGUACUCCUGUGCUGGUCUGUAGUAGUCCUGUACUGGUCUGUAGUAGUCCUGUACUGGUCUGUAGUAGUCCUGUGCUGGUCUGUAUAACUGCUGUGCUGGUCUGUAGUAGUCCUGUGCUGGUCUGUAGUAGUCCUGUGCUGGUCUGUACUGCUCUGUGUCCAGAGCUCUACAGUGUCUGCGGUAGGUAGUCCUGUGCUGGUCUGUAGUAGUCCUGUGCUGGUCUGUAGUACUGCUGUGCUGGUCUGUAGUACUGCUGUGCUGGUCUGUAGUAGUCCUGUGCUGGUCUGUAGUACUGCUGUGCUGGUCUGUAGUAGUCCUGUGCUGGUCUGUAGUAGUCCUGUGCUGGUCUGUAGUAGUCCUGUGCUGGUCUGUAGUACUGCUGUGCUGGUCUGUAGUAGUCCUGUGCUGCUCUGUAGUAGUCCUGUACUGCUCUGUACUGCUCUGUGUCCAGGGCUCUACAGGGUCUGCGGUAGGUAGUCCUGUGCUGCUCUGUAGUAGUCCUGUGCUGCUCUGUACUGCUCUGUGUCCAGGGCUCUACAGGGUCUGCGGUAGGUAGUCCUGUGCUGGUCUGUAGUAGUCCUGUGCUGCUCUGUAGUAGUCCUGUACUGCUCUGUACUGCUCUGUGUCCA